Molecule: ribosomal RNA, 253 nt
Filed under: uncultured bacterium
Lineage: Bacteria
Description: partial 16S ribosomal RNA
Rfam family: Bacterial small subunit ribosomal RNA
Source: RNAcentral
UACGUAGGGGGCAAGCGUUGUCCGGAAUCAUUGGGCGUAAAGAGCGUGUAGGCGGCUCGGUCAGUCUGGUGGGAAAGUCCAGGGCUCAACCCUGGAAGGCCGGUGGAAACUGCCGGGCUAGAGUCCGGAAGAGGCGAGUGGAAUUCCCGGUGUAGCGGUGAAAUGCGCAGAUAUCGGGAGGAACACCAAUGGCGAAGGCAGCUCGCUGGGACGGUACUGACGCUGAGACGCGAAAGCGUGGGGAGCGAACAGG